AAGACCUUGCGCUUUUGGAGCGGCCGAUGCCUGAUUAGCUUGUUGGUAAGGUAAAGGCUUACCAAGGCUUCGAUCAGUAGCUGGUCUGAGAGGACGGCCAGCCACACUGGGACUGAGACACGGCCCAGACUCCUACGGGAGGCAGCAGUGGGGAAUUUUGGACAAUGGGGGAAACCCUGAUCCAGCCAUGCCGCGUGAGUGAAGAAGGCCUUCGGGUUGCAAAGCUCUUUCAGCCGGAACGAAACGGUUACGGAUAAUACCCGUGACUACUGACGGUACCGGAAGAAGAAGCACCGGCUAACUACGUGCCAGCAGCCGCGGUAAUACGUAGGGUGCGAGCGUUAAUCGGAAUUACUGGGCGUAAAGCGUGCGCAGGUGGUUUUGUAAGUCAGAUGUGAAAGCCCCGGGCUCAACCUGGGAACU
This 423-nucleotide ribosomal RNA is filed under the name uncultured bacterium. Its description in RNAcentral is "bacterial SSU rRNA". It matches the Rfam family "Bacterial small subunit ribosomal RNA", at positions 207 to 622 of the family's 1533-position model. The record is from RNAcentral.